UUAAUGUCUAGGAGAAGUUCUAUUCAGUUCAAGGAGAAAGGAUGCUACCCUCUUAAGUAGUAAAUAAGUAGGUGAUUGACUUGAAAUAUCAUCUCUUAUAAACUACUUAGAAGGGGAGACACCUGAAUUCAAAAAAUGAAAAAAAAAAUUAGCAUCUUGAUUGACCCAUUGAUCACCCAAUCAUUUCGUUUUUCAUAUAAUUGUGAUUUAAUUCCGACAAAUAUUCACCAAAUCGAUUGGUACCUUUUUAAGUAGUAAAUAAGUAGGUGAGUGAUUCGAAUUCUCACCUCUUAUAAACUGCUUUAUAAGAUAUUCACCAGUAUCACCAUCCAAACAAGCAAAGCGACAAAUAAAUCCUCGAAAGGGUAGUAUUUUUAUAAUGCGUUUCCAACGCCAUUAGAAGGUGCCUCAAAAUAGCCGUACAAAUUUUGUUAUCAUAAAUUAAACAAUUAAAAUUUAAUAAAGCAACAAAUUAAUAACAUCAGUGA
Molecule: long non-coding RNA, 488 nt
Organism: Hermetia illucens (black soldier fly)
Lineage: Eukaryota; Metazoa; Arthropoda; Insecta; Diptera; Stratiomyidae
Exons: 2
Source: RefSeq, a predicted model, not a curated record